This 429-nucleotide ribosomal RNA is filed under the name Bacteroidota bacterium. RNAcentral describes it as "Bacteroidetes bacterium partial 16S ribosomal RNA". It matches the Rfam family "Bacterial small subunit ribosomal RNA", at positions 355 to 776 of the family's 1533-position model. The record is from RNAcentral. Lineage: Bacteria; Pseudomonadati; Bacteroidota.
UAGGGAAUCUUCGGCAAUGGGGGGAACCCUGACCGAGCAACGCCGCGUGAGUGAAGAAGGUUUUCGGAUCGUAAAGCUCUGUUGUUAAGGAAGAACGAGUGUGAGAAUGGAAAGUUCAUACUGUGACGGUACUUAACCAGAAAGGGACGGCUAACUACGUGCCAGCAGCCGCGGUAAUACGUAGGUCCCGAGCGUUGUCCGGAUUUAUUGGGCGUAAAGCGAGCGCAGGCUGUUAGAUAAGUCUGAAGUUAAAGGCAGUGGCUCAACCAUUGUAGGCUUUGGAAACUGUUUAACUUGAGUGCAGAAGGGGAGAGUGGAAUUCCAUGUGUAGCGGUGAAAUGCGUAGAUAUAUGGAGGAACACCGGUGGCGAAAGCGGCUCUCUGGUCUGUAACUGACGCUGAGGCUCGAAAGCGUGGGGAGCGAACAGG